UUGAACUGAAGAGUUUGAUCCUGGCUCAGAUUGAACGCUGGCGGCAUGCCUUACACAUGCAAGUCGAACGGCAGCACGGGUGCUUGCACCUGGUGGCGAGUGGCGAACGGGUGAGUAAUACAUCGGAACAUGUCCUGUAGUGGGGGAUAGCCCGGCGAAAGCCGGAUUAAUACCGCAUACGAUCUACGGAUGAAAGCGGGGGACCUUCGGGCCUCGCGCUAUAGGGU
RNAcentral lists this ribosomal RNA (227 nucleotides) under Burkholderia cenocepacia. Its description in RNAcentral is "partial 16S ribosomal RNA". It matches the Rfam family "Bacterial small subunit ribosomal RNA", at positions 1 to 226 of the family's 1533-position model. The record is from RNAcentral. Lineage: Bacteria; Pseudomonadati; Pseudomonadota; Betaproteobacteria; Burkholderiales; Burkholderiaceae.